Non-coding RNA from Salmo salar (Atlantic salmon), 1357 nucleotides. The record is from RefSeq and is a predicted model, not a curated record. Lineage: Eukaryota; Metazoa; Chordata; Actinopteri; Salmoniformes; Salmonidae.
AGACUACAGGCGAAUAUCCGUCGAAUAUCCAACCUGAAACUGGCUUUACCUCGGUUCUUCAGCUCCCUCUGCUUACACUUUCUACCAUUCUUCUUCAACUCACCCUCUUCUUCCCUCUCUCUUAGACUUCUUCUCCCUCCAUUCCUCCUCCGUUUUCCAAGUAUACGUCUCCUUAAGAUAAUACUGCUGCCCCACUCCUGACACCCAUCUUGCUCUUGCUUUCUCUAGGGACUCCAUUUCCCUUCAAGAGAGAGAACAACGGCUAAAUAUGGUCUUAAUUUGCAAUGCUCAAUCCCCCACGUCACUCCGCCAACCACCAGGAUGCCCGGCAUCAGAACAUUCCAGGCAUUCCCGUGACUGGCAGAUAGCAGGUUGAUUGGCAUGCCGGACCCCGCGAACACUAGGUAUUGAUGGUCGCAUGCGGUUGGACACAUGGAGGAGAGAAUCAUUUUCGCAGUAUCCUCAAAACCGUGUCUUUUUGACACAACUGCUGACAGCUACAGGGAAAUAAACACAAAAAAUUCUGCUUGGAGACAAGUGUCCACGAUAGUAGGAUUGCCAGGUCAGUUUAGUAGUGGGCAUGUGCCAGAUGUGGCUAGUUAACGUGACCCACAACAAUGGGUCCUGGAGAAGACUAGCCUACCUUCAUCAGAGCAGAAGGCACCCCAAUUUUCUUUUCAUUUGGUAACAUUGCAUAAUUAAAAAAUGAUUCUAAACCAACUUUGGGAAAAGUUAUAGUCCUAAUGAACAUUCUGUAAAAGUACAUCUGAUGUCAAAUAGGGACUAUUAACUAGAGAGCCCUUUAGCUAGCUAGCUAGCUAGGUUGCACAUAAAAACAAUGUAUCAAAUAUCAAUCAAUUAUGGUAUCAAAGGCUUUAAAAAUGUACUAGAAUGUAGCUUUCCGGAGACAAAUCGGCAGGCGUUCAACUGGGCUGAUGGACUCCCGGUAGUUGGUAUCCAUCCGUAUGAUCCUGGCUCCAACCAUCUGAAACAGGUGAUCAAACUGGCUUCGGUCCAGACGAAAGUAACUUCUGAAUUCCUCUCCAAGCAGUCGAAGCUCUUGAAUGAGACGGUGGAACUCCCCUGCCUGCUUUCGGGACUUUAACCAUCUCUGGACCCACACAGACCUGCGCUUUCGGUGGGGCUGGUCCUGGCCCAACAGCGUGAUCAAGACCACCUUCCUCAACGUUGGUCUCAUUGUUGAAAGAGCCGACUCUGCUAUCUUGACUAUUAUGCAUUUCGCUCCAAAGCUGCAUUUUGGAGGGAAAUUAUAUUAUAGGCUCUCACAAUUAAUUUGUGGAUGUCAUCGAGUAAAUAAUAUACUUGGCAAAUAAAUGAAUAAAAAAAUGUAAAGAAA